Molecule: ribosomal RNA, 549 nt
Filed under: uncultured bacterium
Lineage: Bacteria
Description: bacterial SSU rRNA
Rfam family: Bacterial small subunit ribosomal RNA
Source: RNAcentral
UGGGGAAUAUUGGACAAUGGGCGAAAGCCUGAUCCAGCCAUGCCGCGUGUGUGAAGAAGGCCUUUUGGUUGUGAAGCACUUUAAGUGGGGAGGAAAAGCUUAUGGUUAAUACCCAUAAGCCCUGACGUUACCCACAGAAUAAGCACCGGCUAACUCUGUGCCAGCAGCCGCGGUAAUACAGAGGGUGCAAGCGUUAAUCGGAAUUACUGGGCGUAAAGCGCGCGUAGGUGGUUAUUUAAGUCAGAUGUGAAAGCCCCGGGCUUAACCUGGGAACUGCAUCUGAUACUGGAUAACUAGAGUAGGUGAGAGGGGAGUAGAAUUCCAGGUGUAGCGGUGAAAUGCGUAGAGAUCUGGAGGAAUACCGAUGGCGAAGGCAGCUCCCUGGCAUCAUACUGACACUGAGGUGCGAAAGCGUGGGUAGCAAACAGGAUUAGAUACCCUGGUAGUCCACGCCGUAAACGAUGUCUACCAGUCGUUGGGUCUUUUAAAGACUUAGUGACGCAGUUAACGCAAUAAGUAGACCGCCUGGGGAGUACGGCCGCAAGGUUA